GGGUGUGUAGCUCAACAGGUAGAGCAAUUCUCUUAUCAAGAAUCGGUUGACAGUUCGAGUCUGUCCAUGCCUA
This is a non-coding RNA of Baffinella frigidus, 73 nucleotides long. NCBI's taxonomy places the organism in Eukaryota, Cryptophyceae, Cryptomonadales, Baffinellaceae. The record is from the annotation of a GenBank genome assembly.